Molecule: long non-coding RNA, 1270 nt
Filed under: Numida meleagris (helmeted guineafowl)
Lineage: Eukaryota; Metazoa; Chordata; Aves; Galliformes; Numididae
Description: lncRNA (ENSNMEG00000004474.1)
Source: RNAcentral
AUGAAGCUGCAGAAGAAUUUUGAAGAGAUUGAAUCUGGGGACGCUUCUGGCUCAGAUAGUAUUAAUGACGUGGUGGCUUUGGGAAAUGACAAGCUCCUCAGUCUGGUGCUGGAAGAAUUAGAAGGGUUUCAAAUGUGGGAAAAUGAUGGAGAAGCAGCUUUGAAAUGGUUAUUCAUCUCCAUCAAAUACACCCACUGGACAACUGGGACAGAUGUGAGCUGCAAAGGAAGGUACCUCCCAUGGUCAGCCCUGCAGCCCUGCAAAAGUUAGAAAUGAAUGGGGAGAAGAAAUGGCAAAGCUGGCAACAUCUUUAUGAUCUCUAAAGAGGAUCCACAGCCCGGGUGCGGAAUCCUGUCCUACUACAGGUUUUAGAAACGCUUCUAUCCCACCUCUGUGUCUUUGGGCACAGUCCAGCAACAUUCAGUGGUGUCUGGGAGAGAGGUGGUGAGUUUGCAAUUAUUUCAGAAGAGCAUUAUUUCAUCUUUCUGGUCUGGUCCCUUAGGUAUCCUGGAUCAUGACAAAAUGAUAUUGCCCAACACCCCUUUCCAGGGAAGGGAGGGAAAGCUGAGGAGUGCUGUUGGGUAAGGGUGUCACACUGCUGUAUUUCAUCUGAGAUUCCUGUCACGCAAGUCCUAUAAAUGUCAUUGUGAAGUUUUGUGACUAAAUUCUCCUGCGAAGUCUUGAAAACUGACUCAUUUUAUGUCACCUUAAUGAAGCCUGUUGUGGUUUAACGGGAUGUUUGUAGAUGAUGGGAAGAAAGACUGCUUCAUUAAGUCACACAACCUUUAUGAAGUGUCAUAUCACAAACGGAGCAGUCACUAGCAUGCUAACAAAAAAAAAGCCUAAUGAGUGAACUAAAGUAUUUCAGGUGUGUCCUGAACUUGGGUAACUAUUGAUUACAUCUAUUCAGUUUUAUAGUAGCUACAAGUGCUCUCUGUCCCUCUUUCCUGUACCUGUGGUUCAAUUGCCAUUUUUUCAUUUCUUCAUAGAAGAAACUAUACCUGAACGAUGACAUUAAUACCUAAAUACCUAACUUGCUGGCAGCAUGGGCUGUGUUAUGUGGUGGUCUGCCUGUUCCUGCUUUACCCAGAGAGCACCAACAGCAAGCUGGACGUAUCCUCAGAUGGCUGCAGAAGUCAGGCUGCGAGAGCUGCCCUGUGGCAGGUGAACUGUGCUGUGAGUGAGCUUCUUGAGGGCUGUCCUUACCUGGGUGUAAAUACGUGCUGUGUGACGUUGCAGUCCUAAUUUCCUUCACUUCCUCCAUUCCUGC